RNAcentral lists this long non-coding RNA (312 nucleotides) under Struthio camelus australis. RNAcentral's name for it is "lncRNA (ENSSCUG00000005612.1)". The record is from RNAcentral. Lineage: Eukaryota; Metazoa; Chordata; Aves; Struthioniformes; Struthionidae.
CUCUGAGUGCUAUACAUGGCUCAGGUGUGGUAUGGUCGCUAGGGAAAGCUCUAUAUAGGAUCUGUAUCAUCUAGAGAAGAAUCUGACUGUGAGCCCAUCUAAGUAAAAGUGAGAGGAAAAAACAACAUUCUUUCUGCUUCCACCUAGACUACUUGGAUCUUGAUUUAAUGUAACAGAGACAGCAUUGAAUUCGAUGAGGCAGUGAUUUACCUCAGCGACUCCCCACCGGGAUAUGGCUACAGAACAAGAACAAUUGCGACUUCAAGAGCUAUCUUCAAGCAAGAGUAAGCCUAUGACAUACCAGCCUUUCUU